This 698-nucleotide long non-coding RNA is filed under the name Felis catus (domestic cat). RNAcentral's name for it is "lncRNA (ENSFCAG00000051467.1)". The record is from RNAcentral. Lineage: Eukaryota; Metazoa; Chordata; Mammalia; Carnivora; Felidae.
CGUGAGGUUGCAGACCGGACAGCGAGCCUCCCUCGUUCCGACGUUGCUCUGACCUCCGGAGAUGACAAGUGAGCAAGAAGUGUCCGAUCGGGCCAUCCCCUUCAGCAUUCAUCCUACUGGGAGAACUCACCCUAAACAUGGAAUACCUUGCUCACCCCUUGACACAAAGUUGCAGCUGAUAAGACAAAAGAGAGAAGAGCCACUACACAUCUGCCCUUCUUCAGGCCUCUUCAUCCAGCCAACAGUCUCUCACACCUGUUCUUCUUUACCACUAUUUUCCUCCUUUCUUCUCCGGACCUGGAAUGUAAAAUUGGCCUUCAAAUUAAUUAACAAAAGUAGGCCUCUGGCAACUGUUCCGGCCCUACAAUCUCAAAGCCCUCACUUGAGAUAUAAAAAGAAAGGAAAUCAGGACUGUGUGCAUAUUCUUUUUUAACUCUUUUUUUUUCUUUUUCUUUUUUUAACCAUCUAACCCAUCUUCCCCUGCAUUAAGUCUGGGUUAAUGCACCCCUGCCACUCGAAACAGCACUUGUCGGAAAUAUGGGAAAUUGUUAAAAGAGACGAAACCUCACUGGCUCUGUACUGAGCCUGGAGCCUGGAGCCUGGAGCCUGCUUUGGAUUCUGUGUCUCCCUCUCUCUCUGCCCCUCCCCCGCUCAUGCUCUGUCCCUCAAAAAUAAAGAAACAUUUUAAAAUUUUUUCA